AUUGGAACAACGGUUUUUGGGUCUUUUGGUUCAGAGUACAUGAAAUCAUUCUCUCACUACAUUUCUUUCCUAUUACUCCUGUAUGGUUUUGCAAUCCUCUUUCCUUUUAUCUAUAGUGAAUGUAGCAUUUUUCAAAAGCUGUUCUUUUAUUGUUUUUCGCUUUUCUCUUUCUUUCUUUUCAUGUUGUUGUUGUUUUUCUUUUUUUUUUCUUUUUAUCUUUUUUAUCUUUUUUUUUUCUUUUAUACGACAUUCACUUACUAUUCACGUACUGCAAA
Molecule: long non-coding RNA, 275 nt
Filed under: Lathyrus oleraceus (garden pea)
Lineage: Eukaryota; Viridiplantae; Streptophyta; Magnoliopsida; Fabales; Fabaceae
Description: Pisum sativum (pea) long non-coding RNA (PSAT_LNC007301)
Source: RNAcentral